This 225-nucleotide long non-coding RNA is filed under the name Lathyrus oleraceus (garden pea). RNAcentral's name for it is "Pisum sativum (pea) long non-coding RNA (PSAT_LNC015012)". The record is from RNAcentral. Lineage: Eukaryota; Viridiplantae; Streptophyta; Magnoliopsida; Fabales; Fabaceae.
AAUUAUAGUAACACAAUUUUUCUAAACAAACGAGUGCCUAACAUAGCCAUACACACUCAUAAAAAAUAUGAAAUUCAUAUAAUUUAACUAAAUAAAAGAAUAAUAAUAACCAAAGUUUUAAAGAAAAUAAACAUGAAACUAAUACUUAAAUUGUGGCUACAUCGAGUUAGCAAUCUUCAUCAUUUUCUUCCUCGAUUAUUCUUUCAUUAUUCUCAUUUAACUCUC